GACGCACCUCACCAGUAUCAGAGCAACAGCUGUGGGGUGUUCAUGCUGAUGGUGAGAUGCAUUAUUUUCAGAAAUGAUGACUGAUGACUAGUUUGCAAAACAACUAACUCAUUUGUAUGUUAAUUUCAGUACGCAAUGUAUUCUACCCUCAAAAGCAAUAUGAUUUCAGUGAGGGGGACAUGCUCUCUAUCAGGAGGUGGUGGUUGGACUGCUGUUGGAGACCUUUAUGCUUGAAAGCCCUGCAGAACUAGCUGGCUCCUUCUCACCCUCUCCAUCUCCCCAUCUCAGUCACACCUUCCAAUCACUAAGCAGUGAAAGCCCGGCAGGACUAGCUGGCACACCAAGCUCACCCUCUCCAUCUCCCCAUCUCGGCCACACGCUCCAAUCUGGCACAACAGAGGACAGGCCAUUCUUAUCACUCGAAGUCCUUCAGCAAAUUGUACAAGAGACGCUGAGACUGGACAUGGCGAUGCUUGGCGUGUUCAACAGGGUUUCAAACACAUUCCGAGAACUAAUCAAGCCUCUCUAUCCUUCAAUAUAUAAAUGACAGUUUGGCAGGGGACAUUAAGCUUAAUAAAGACAAUCUCAUAUACAUAACGGUUAGAAAGAUUUACAACAAUGCAGGCUGUGGCAGUGGCCUUGCACUACGCCUCAAAGGCUUCUUAAAAAAGAAGAAUUGGCCAAGCGCACCCCUGGUACUGAGGCACGUUGCAUAUGGCAGGUUUGUCAUAAAAGAUGUCUGCAUAGCAUAAUGUUCUUUUAUUACUCCUUUUUCGUUUUAUUUGGGACGUCAUUUUUGCAAUCCCUUUCAUUUGUAAAUGUACAUACUACUGUAGUAAAUGUAUCUGCCCAGAAAUGCUGGUAUUUUAUUACUCCUUUCUUUUUUGUUUUUGUGACAAAUGCUAUACGAUGUAUAACAUACAUUUGUGCCUACGAUGUAUGUUGUAAGGUUAAUUGUUACAGAGCAAUUACUGUAUUUUGUCUUUAUUGAAAACAUUCAGUGGGAAAAGUAAGUGAACACUUGGAGUCAAAUGGCCCACUGUUUGAGCCUUCAUAGUGUCUGGUAACUGGAUUUGAACUGCAUAAGGUCCCAAGUGUUAUUUUAAUCUAUUCAUUAUUUAAUUUGGGCAUAUUCUUAAACAACUAUAUCAAACAUCUCACUUAUACCUAAUACCCUACCUAUACUAACCCAGAAGAUAAUGAGCAUGAGAUCAUGGAGCCUCCCUGUAAUGAUUGUGUUGCAUCAAGUUUGAUGCAAAGUUUGGGCCGAGAUCCGACACAUAAAUGUAAGUUAACAUUCUGUAGGCCUAGCUGGCUAACGUACCCGUAUUACGAGAUCGAAGAAGGGGGCGCUAACGUCAGUUCUUUGCUGCCCAUACUACUAGAUCGACGAAGAAGAACGGGGCGUUCCAGCCUGCGUAAACGAGAACGCCCACCACACGAGAACGCCGGGGGGGCGUUUUAGUCUGCGUGAACGGGAACGCCCACGACACGGGAACGCCCAUUUGUGUCUGCAGUCGGAUGAUAUUGAAAACAAGUGGGAACAAGGACUAAGAACAAUUAAGCAAGCAUACAGUAAGUGAACAAGAACAGCAAAGUAGAGCCAGGGGGUAUCAAUAAAUAAAACAAUGUUAGUCAUGUGUGGAACAAGAACAACAAAUGUGUAAACAGGUGUGUGUGUCUACAGUAUAUCUAACUUGUAAAACAAGAAAAAAAUGAAGGCACAGAGAGGAAUAUUAUAAGUUAUUAAUAAACAAAGAAAAUACUCCACAUACAUCAGGCUGAGGUUAAGGAUAGUAAAGUGCAUCAGGUCGAAAGGAAGGACAACAAUUGCAGCAGUCGCCGCCACCGCCACCACCACCAGCCACCAGCAGCCGCCACCAACAACAGCCGUCGCCAUCACAAGCCGCCACCACUAGUAUGGGAGAAAUUAACCAUUACUUUUAUAUUAACUAUGAGUAUUAUCAGGUCUAUAUAUCAUAUAGAUACAUUAAUGGUGGAAAGCAGCUAAAAUCAUCUCUGAAUUCAUAGGCAUACUAUUGAACUCGGCAUGGUGCCAGAGAGU
RNAcentral lists this long non-coding RNA (2065 nucleotides) under Gadus morhua (Atlantic cod). RNAcentral describes it as "lncRNA (ENSGMOG00000023195.1)". Lineage: Eukaryota; Metazoa; Chordata; Actinopteri; Gadiformes; Gadidae. The record is from RNAcentral.